This is a non-coding RNA of Macaca mulatta (Rhesus monkey), 3051 nucleotides long. The record is from RefSeq and is a predicted model, not a curated record. NCBI's taxonomy places the organism in Eukaryota, Metazoa, Chordata, Mammalia, Primates, Cercopithecidae.
UGCACUCCAGCCUGGGCAACAGAGCAAGGCCCUGUCUCAAAAACAAACAAACAAAAAGCUCCUGCUGGGGAAUUGGGUAAAUCAUUGAAGUGCUCCUGAGCUGUCUUCGCCUCAGUAUGCUUUUAACCCAACACUUCUCAACUUUUCUAGUGCUUGGUAGUGACAGUGGUGUUCCAAAUACUGUUAUAUACCUAGUUAGGCAAAGUAGAGUCUAGCUAUAGCCACUCAACUACUUACCAAGGUGGGAGAGUUAACUCAGGCAUUUCAGAGUCUUCAUACAUACUCAGAGAUCGAAACAAGAAGAAGUUUUAAAAUAACUCUCAGACUCCCAACUGUACACGUAUUUACAAAUGUAUGACUUGAUCAUUGAUUUUUAGCAGAUAAACAGAACCAGACAAGUUUAUAUUUUUAACUAAGUUAUAGCGUGAGUAUUGCAUUUGGAAGGACCAUGUUAUUUAUUAAACUGUGUGAGGCUGCUGUGAUUAUGCUAUAGAUAGGCAGAGGUCUCCAGAGUCAAUUGGGGUUGUUGAAUCACAUUCAACGAAUGUCCUUGCAUCUCAAUUGAAGAAGCUUGUUAUUGAGGGACUCCCCUGGAGUAAUCAAUUAAAAGCAGUAGCAUUAAGCAGCUAAUGGUGCUGGGAAAUCAAUACUGGUAUGGGGAAGAAACAAUUCCCUGCAAUGAUUUCUAUGCAAAUUCUGAUUCUUGUACCUAAUGACAUUAGGAUUCACUAAUGACACAUAACUCAAGGAAUUGCUUCUUUCUCAGUUAAGCAUGAAGCACAUUUUUGCCCCUACAACCUUGGUGGCCACUUGGGCAGCUUACUUCUGUUUCUGGGAAGCAAUAGAUUAAGAACUCAGCAUCCUCUUAAUUUUGAUCUGGAGCAGUCGAAUCUUUGGGUCAUAUUGUACCAGGAGACAGGUUAAUUCUGGCUACUGUGGGAUGUGCAUGUGAGAGACUGAACUUGAAAGACCAUAAAAAACAGACUCGUAACCAAAGCUCUUCUAAUGACUCCACCGUGGUCAAGUCCAGCUUGUCAUCUUCCAGGUACUGAAAUGUGAGCUUCCUGAAUGUUAGACUUACUAUUCCAGACAGCUACCCCAAUGGCUCCUAUCAGUAUGACUAAAACUGCUUGCUCAGUCUUACCCUCUGUUCUAAUAACUUCAAAACUCUCCAAACUUAUUUUAAUUUCUGCUGAGAUUUAUUUUAUUUCUCAAAUUCUUCCUGUAUCUUAUUUCCCUAUAAAGUAGAUGUCAAGAAUUUUCACAACUUACAGAAUUUUGCUACUAACAUAUAUCCUGUUGGCUUCUGGAAUUGUAACUCUUCACUUUGUCUAUUCCAGCUUUUCUGGCUUUCUGUGCAAAUUGCCAGCAUGAUUUUAUCUGAGAACUGUGUAACUGGCCACAUAUCAACCAUUUCCUCUUCAUUUUUACACUCUGCUUCUCCUAAGCAUGAUAUCAGUGUCCAUAAGGAGGCAUCGCAGACCACAUAUAAGGGUAGUCUUUCAUUGCUCCACUAUCACUUCAAUUUCUUUCCUUACCCACCCACUGCUAUGUGUUAUCUUCUUCAAUUUCAUCAGUAUAUCUGGCAUUUUAUUUCUCUGCAAGAUUUUGAGAAGAAAAUCAUAUACCAAAGCUUGAUCUAGACACAUUUCACAGCCUUUGACAUUUAAAGAAUUUUAGAGAAAUCCUAGUACUUGUCAAUCAAGUAAUGCCUAUCCCUUUAUUGCUGGUUGUCGCACCUUGUGGAGUAUGCAGUUUGCCAGCCUCAGCAGUUUCUGCAGUUAGAUUCCAUGUGUUACCCUUGAUGACCAUUUCUCUUUUCUUUCAGGUGCCACUGAAAACAGCAGCCUUCAGAGCUUUGCUGAAGGUGCUGUCAUCCAGAGUCUGUUGAACUCAACACUGAGGCUAGCAGGGCUGGGAGCACUUCUCUUCUUCAACAACUGCAUCUUGAUGCUCACUUCUGGAGCUGUCACGUCAGCUCCUCUAUCAGCUGUAUCUUUUUCCUUUGAUUGGUACCUGAACAUAAGACCAUGGCCUCUCUUUUUUCUCUGUUCCUAAAACAAUUCUAGAAAGAGUACCACAAUCCAAAUUUCUUCUUUUGUACUGUCAGUCUGUUCAAUUUGACUACAAAGGACACCACUAACAAACAUUCUCUCUUACCCAUUCUCAGAUGUUAGUAAGUCCUGACUUAAUUUUGCCUUAGCAUGAUGUUUUUCACUUAUCUCCUUGACUGUCUGUUUAUACUUUCCUUUUAUUCAUUCUUUGAUUUUUGCUACUUUGCUUUUUUUCUUUUUCUCUCUGUUCUCCAUUAAACAUAUCUGUUUUUGGGAAUUUGUGUUUGGCUUUAUGAAGCCGUUGGUUUAGCUCUGUCCCUAAAGAGGUUUCCUUGAAGCCUUUCUUAAAGGCUUUUUUCAGGUCACUCUUGUCACAUCCCAAGAGUGGCACAGACCUUCUGAGAAUUUAUUCUGUGUCAAUAGUAACACCCAUGCAUGAAAAAGUAUGUAAGUAUGUAUGUACAAGGUUUUCAGCACAAUACCAUUUACAUUGUAAAAAAAUAGGCACAACAAAAAUUUCUAUCAAUAAGAGAUUGAAUAAAUUUUAGUACAGCCUUAUAAUGGAACAGUAAAGUGCAUUUAAAAUGGUAAUGUAAAGUUGCAUUUACUGACAUCAAAAGAUUCUAAAAUGUUUAUUGAGUGAAAAAGCAGGUUAAAAAGUAUAAAUACACUAAUACAUAUAUAAAAUUAUGUGUGUGUGUGUGUGUGUAUGUAUAUAUAUAUAUAUAUAACUUGUUCAACAGCACUGACUCUAGAGUCAAGCAAAUUUGAGUAUGACUCUUAGCUCCACUAUUUACUAACUGUCUGACUUCAGGCAAUUUAUUAACUUCUCUGUGUAUUGCCAUGCACAUUUGUAUAAUGGGGAUAAUAGUGCCUACCUCAUGCAAUUUUAAUGAGGAUUAAAUUAUGUAAUUCAUGUUAAGUGUUCAGGAGAAUGACUGCCCAUUAUAUCUAAUAUUUGAAACUUAAAUAAAAAUGUAUGUGUAAGUGCUUCAAA